RNAcentral lists this ribosomal RNA (301 nucleotides) under uncultured bacterium. RNAcentral describes it as "partial 16S ribosomal RNA". It matches the Rfam family "Bacterial small subunit ribosomal RNA", at positions 509 to 809 of the family's 1533-position model. The record is from RNAcentral.
CAGUCGCCACGGUAAUACGAAGGGGGCUAGCGUUGCUCGGAAUGACUGGGCGUAAAGGGCGCGUAGGCGGAUUGUUUAGUUAGGCGUGAAAUUCCUGGGCUUAACCUGGGGACUGCGCUUAAUACAGGCAGUCUAGAGUGAGGAAGAGGGUUGUGGAAUUCCCAGUGUAGAGGUGAAAUUCGUAGAUAUUGGGAAGAACGCCGGUGGCGAAGGCGGCAACCUGGUCCUUGACUGACGCUGAGGCGCGAAAGCGUGGGGAGCAAACAGGAUUAGAUACCCCUGUAGUCCCUGUCUCUUAUAA